CUAUUGCAGAUUGAAGCCUCUCUCUCUCUCUCUCUCUCUCUCUCCAGUUUCUCUACGAAACCCUAGCCGCACACAGAGGCUUGUUUUGGGGACGUGGUUUGCUCAGACAAAAGACUUCACCAUUUCGCAUCCCACGCCUCUUGUUCUUCUCUCCCUCUCAGAUCGUCUUCGCACCGCUACACCGCCGCUGUGGACGCCGUGGAAAACUCGUUUCCAGCGUCGGCCAUCGACAUCGCCACCGACUUUCAGGUAACUGCUGCGGAGACCCCAAGCAUAUUCAGCAACAAAAAAAGUGUGGAAAUAGAAUUUCCCAUAAUAAACAGAGACUAGAUCACAAGGCCAAGAGAGACAUGCCCCCUCAGUCUUCAGGUUGUUUACGUGGAAGUUUUGAUGGCAUGAGUGGAGUCGGAAAAAA
Camellia sinensis is the source of this 415-nucleotide non-coding RNA. Lineage: Eukaryota; Viridiplantae; Streptophyta; Magnoliopsida; Ericales; Theaceae. The record is from RefSeq and is a predicted model, not a curated record.